ACUCAAGGCCUGAUUGGUUCUUCCUAAGCAGGACACGAUCUCGUUGGCAGGGCAACCGGCCUUUAGUUGGUGGCCUUCAGUGGGUGGCUUAAGUUGGUGGCAUUUGGUUGCCUUUCCUGGGGAGAGGCGGCAGGUGCUCAGCUCUGCAGACGUGGGGGCAAGAGAAGGCCCAAGCUGCCUCGAGAAGAGCAGAGGUGCCCCAUGGGGACCAUGAUGACCGGUCGCAUGUGCCAAAGCCAGCCCCCGGCAGGGCCAGCGCAGGGUUUCUGCGGGGCCGUCCUGUGGCUCUGAUAUCUAUGAGUGGGUGGCCAGCAAAGGCACAGGCACCAGCAGAAAGGAGCAGAGAUGCCCAGAACAUGCUGUCCCCCAAUGCCAGCCCCAAGCGAGGCCAGCUUAGGGUGCGGUGGGCAGAGCCAUCCUGCAGCUCUGAGAUCCACGAAGUGGAGGUGGGAGUAGCGCCAGGCUCCACGGCGUUGGAGCUCUCACAACUUGAGCUCAAUUUUAUUCCGGAGCCAUGACCUGCAGCACAUUGGUGACCAGAAGACGCCCAAAGCUUUGAAAAUGGACUUAUCGACCUCAAACCAAUGGGACAUAUUCCUACAUGGCCUUCUCCCCUGUUAGGGUUCCCAGGGUAUGUCUUUAAUGUCUGGUUUAAUAGAAGAAGACUUGGUUCUCCUUUCUGCUUCUAUGUUUAAUUUCUUGUGACAUCCCACGUCA
Molecule: long non-coding RNA, 717 nt
Filed under: Homo sapiens (human)
Lineage: Eukaryota; Metazoa; Chordata; Mammalia; Primates; Hominidae
Description: HSALNT0400649
Source: RNAcentral